GCCUUCGUGGUGUAGUGGUCAGCACGCUCGACGCAUAACCGAGAGGUCCGUGGUUCAAUUCCCGGCGAAGGCG
This 73-nucleotide transfer RNA is filed under the name Stegodyphus mimosarum. It matches the Rfam family "tRNA". Rfam says of the family: Transfer RNA (tRNA) molecules are approximately 80 nucleotides in length. Their secondary structure includes four short double-helical elements and three loops (D, anti-codon, and T loops). The record is from Rfam by way of RNAcentral. Lineage: Eukaryota; Metazoa; Arthropoda; Arachnida; Araneae; Eresidae.